Molecule: long non-coding RNA, 239 nt
Organism: Syzygium oleosum
Lineage: Eukaryota; Viridiplantae; Streptophyta; Magnoliopsida; Myrtales; Myrtaceae
Exons: 2
Source: RefSeq, a predicted model, not a curated record
UUGAGUUUUUGCAUCAUUCUCAAUAAAGUUUCUAUCUAGAGGCCAGCCACUUGAUCUUAGACUGCAAAAACUGCAUGCCUAUGCUCAUCAAGACAUUCUUAUGGCUAGGGGUGAGCGGUUCCAGGUUCCUCAUUUUUUGGAACCUGGAACCUACCCGUCGGAACUUGAAACCUAGAACCUACCCUGUCACAGGUUCUUUUUUUUUUAUUUCAUUUUUAGUUAAACAAAACGAAAAUGAA